RNAcentral lists this ribosomal RNA (119 nucleotides) under Pteropus alecto (black flying fox). Lineage: Eukaryota; Metazoa; Chordata; Mammalia; Chiroptera; Pteropodidae. The record is from RNAcentral.
GUUUAUGGCCAUGCCACCCUGAACAAGCCCGAUCUCAUCUGAUCUUGUAAGCUAAGCAGGGUGGGGCCUGGUUAGUACUUGGGUGAGAGACCACCUAGGAAGACCAGGUGCUGAAGGUG